GGUUAAGUGACUAAGCGUACACGGUGGAUGCCUUGGCAGUCAGAGGCGAUGAAGGACGUAGUAACUUGCGAUAAGCGUAGAUGAGGCAGUAACAGCCACUUGAGUCUACGAUUUCCGAAUGGGGAAACCCACUGGCAUAAGCCAGUAUCAUUGAGUGAAUACAUAGCUCAAUGAAGCGAACCGGGAGAACUGAAACAUCUAAGUACCCCGAGGAAAAGAAAUCAACCGAGAUUCCGAAAGUAGCGGCGAGCGAAAUUGGAUUAGCCCUUAAGCUUUACAUGUGUUAGACGAACGGUCUGGAAAGUCCGACGAUACAGGGUGAUAGUCCCGUAGUUGACGAUGCAUGUUCAGUGAAAUCGAGUAGGGCGGGACACGUGUUAUCCUGUCUGAAUAUGGGGGGACCAUCCUCCAAGGCUAAAUACUCCUGACUGACCGAUAGUGAACCAGUACCGUGAGGGAAAGGCGAAAAGAACCCCUGUGAGGGGAGUGAAAUAGAACCUGAAACCGUGUACGUACAAGCAGUAGGAGCACCUUCGUGGUGUGACUGCGUACCUUUUGUAUAAUGGGUCAGCGACUUAUAUUCAGUGGCAAGGUUAACCAUCUAGGGGAGCCGUAGGGAAACCGAGUCUUAACUGGGCGCCAUAGUCUCUGGAUAUAGACCCGAAACCGAGUGAUCUAGCCAUGGGCAGGUUGAAGGUUGAGUAACAUCAACUGGAGGACCGAACCGACUAAUGUUGAAAAAUUAGCGGAUGACUUGUGGCUAGGGGUGAAAGGCCAAUCAAACUCGGAGAUAGCUGGUUCUCCCCGAAAGCUAUUUAGGUAGCGCCUCGGACGAAUACUACUGGGGGUAGAGCACUGUUAAGGCUAGGGGGUCAUCCCGACUUACCAACCCUUUGCAAACUCCGAAUACCAGUAAGUACUAUCCGGGAGACACACGGCGGGUGCUAACGUCCGUCGUGGAGAGGGAAACAACCCAGACCGCCAGCUAAGGUCCCAAAUUACAGCUAAGUGGGAAACGAUGUGGGAAGGCUUAGACAGCUAGGAUGUUGGCUUAGAAGCAGCCAUCAUUUAAAGAAAGCGUAAUAGCUCACUAGUCGAGUCGGCCUGCGCGGAAGAUGUAACGGGGCUAAGUUGUAAACCGAAGCUGCGGCAAUGUUCUAUGAACAUUGGGUAGGGGAGCGUUCUGUAAGCCGUUGAAGGUGUGUUGUAAAGCAUGCUGGAGGUAUCAGAAGUGCGAAUGCUGACAUGAGUAACGACAAGGGGGGUGAAAAACCUCCCCGCCGGAAGACCAAGGGUUCCUGUCCAACGUUAAUCGGGGCAGGGUAAGUCGACCCCUAAGGCGAGGCUGAAAAGCGUAGUCGAUGGGAAACGGGUUAAUAUUCCCGUACUUCUUACAAUUGCGAUGGGGGGACGGAGAAGGCUAGGUGGGCCUGGCGACGGUUGUCCAGGUUCAAGUGCGUAGGCU
RNAcentral lists this ribosomal RNA (1465 nucleotides) under Vibrio vulnificus. RNAcentral describes it as "partial 23S ribosomal RNA". It matches the Rfam family "Bacterial large subunit ribosomal RNA", at positions 1 to 1526 of the family's 2925-position model. The record is from RNAcentral. Lineage: Bacteria; Pseudomonadati; Pseudomonadota; Gammaproteobacteria; Vibrionales; Vibrionaceae.